AUUGAACGCUGGCGGCAGGCUUAACACAUGCAAGUCGAACGAGUGGCGGACGGGUGAGUAAUGUCUGGGAAACUGCCUGAUGGAGGGGGAUAACUACUGGAAACGGUAGCUAAUACCGCAUACCAUCAGAUGUGCCCAGAUGGGAUUAGCUAGUAGGUGGGGUAAUGGCUCACCUAGGCGACGAUCCCUAGCUGGUCUGAGAGGAUGACCAGCCACACUGGGACUGAGACACGGCCCAGACUCCUACGGGAGGCAGCAGUGGGGAAUAUUGCACAAUGGGCGCAAGCCUGAUGCAGCCAUGCCGCGUGUAUGAAGAAGGCCUUCGGGUUGUAAAGUACUUUCAGCGAGGAGGCGUUACUCGCAGAAGAAGCACCGGCUAACUCCGUGCCAGCAGCCGCGGUAAUUC
RNAcentral lists this ribosomal RNA (406 nucleotides) under uncultured bacterium. RNAcentral describes it as "partial 16S ribosomal RNA". It matches the Rfam family "Bacterial small subunit ribosomal RNA", at positions 30 to 526 of the family's 1533-position model. The record is from RNAcentral.